Molecule: ribosomal RNA, 490 nt
Filed under: uncultured bacterium
Lineage: Bacteria
Description: partial 16S ribosomal RNA
Rfam family: Bacterial small subunit ribosomal RNA
Source: RNAcentral
AUUGAACGCUGGCGGCAGGCCCAACACAUGCAAGUCGAACGGUAACAGGAAGCAGCUUGCUGCUUUGCUGACGAGUGGCGGACGGGUGAGUAAUGUCUGGGAAACUGCCCGAUGGAGGGGGAUAACUACUGGAAACGGUAGCUAAUACCGCAUAACGUCGCAAGACCAAAGAGGGGGACCUUAGGGCCUCUUGCCAUCGGAUGUGCCCAGAUGGGAUUAGCUAGUAGGUGGGGUAACGGCUCACCUAGGCGACGAUCCCUAGCUGGUCUGAGAGGAUGACCAGCCACACUGGAACUGAGACACGGUCCAGACUCCUACGGGAGGCAGCAGUGGGGAAUAUUGCACAAUGGGCGCAAGCCUGAUGCAGCCAUGCCGCGUGUAUGAAGAAGGCCUUCGGGUUGUAAAGUACUUUCAGCGGGGAGGAAGGGAGUAAAGUUAAUACCUUUGCUCAUUGACGUUACCCGCAGAAGAAGCACCGGCUAACUCCGUG